AUACGGAGGAUCCGAGCGUUAUCCGGAUUUAUUGGGUUUAAAGGGAGCGUAGGCGGACGCUUAAGUCAGCUGUGAAAGUUUGGGGCUCAACCUUAAAAUUGCAGUUGAUACUGGUUUCCUUGAGUACGGUACAGGUGGGCGGAAUUCGUGGUGUAGCGGUGAAAUGCUUAGAUAUCACGAAGAACUCCGAUCGCGAAGGCAGCUCACCGGGCCGGAACUGACACUGAUGCUCGAAAGUGCGGGUAUCAAACAGGAUUAGAUACCCUGGUAGUCCACACAGUAAACGAUGAAUACUCGCUGUUUGCGAUAUACAGUAAGCGGCCAAGCGAAAGCAUUAAGUAUUCCACCUGGGGAGUACGCCGGCAACGGUGAAACUCAAAGGAAUUGACGGGG
RNAcentral lists this ribosomal RNA (393 nucleotides) under uncultured bacterium. RNAcentral's name for it is "partial 16S ribosomal RNA". It matches the Rfam family "Bacterial small subunit ribosomal RNA", at positions 523 to 918 of the family's 1533-position model. The record is from RNAcentral.